Molecule: ribosomal RNA, 450 nt
Filed under: Blochmannia endosymbiont of Camponotus textor
Lineage: Bacteria; Pseudomonadati; Pseudomonadota; Gammaproteobacteria; Enterobacterales; Enterobacteriaceae
Description: bacterial SSU rRNA
Rfam family: Bacterial small subunit ribosomal RNA
Source: RNAcentral
AACCCUGAUGCAGCUAUACCGUGUGUGUGAAGAAGGCCUUAGGGUUGUAAAGCACUUUCAAGGGGGAAGAAUUUAAUAUUGCUAAUAUCGAUAUUAAUUGACGUUACCUAUAUAAGAAGCACCGGCUAACUCCGUGCCAGCAGCCGCGGUAAUACGGAGGGUGCGAGCGUUAAUCGGAAUUACUGGGCGUAAAGAGUACAUAGGUGGUUUGUUAAGUCAGAUGUGAAAUCCCUGAGCUUAACUUAGGAACUGCAUUUGAAACUAAUAAACUAGAGUUUCGUAGAGGGGGGUAGAAUUCCAGGUGUAGCGGUGAAAUGCGUAGAGAUCUGGAGGAAUACCAGUGGCGAAGGCGACCCCCUGGACGGAAACUGACACUCAGGUACGAAAGCAUGGGGAGCAAACAGGAUUAGAUACCCUGGUAGUCCAUGCCGUAAACGAUGUCGAUUUGAA